This 409-nucleotide ribosomal RNA is filed under the name uncultured bacterium. Its description in RNAcentral is "bacterial SSU rRNA". It matches the Rfam family "Bacterial small subunit ribosomal RNA", at positions 355 to 776 of the family's 1533-position model. The record is from RNAcentral.
UGGGGAAUAUUGCACAAUGGGCGAAAGCCUGAUGCAGCGACGCCGCGUGAGGGAUGACGGCCUUCGGGUUGUAAACCUCUUUCAGCUCCGAAGAAGCGAAAGUGACGGUAGGAGCAGAAGAAGCACCGGCUAACUACGUGCCAGCAGCCGCGGUAAUACGUAGGGUGCAAGCGUUGUCCGGAAUUAUUGGGCGUAAAGAGCUCGUAGGCGGUGUGUCGCGUCUGCUGUGAAAACUCAGGACUCAACUCUGAGCUUGCAGUGGGUACGGGCACACUUGAGUGCUGUAGGGGAGACUGGAAUUCCUGGUGUAGCGGUGAAAUGCGCAGAUAUCAGGAGGAACACCGGUGGCGAAGGCGGGUCUCUGGGCAGUUACUGACGCUGAGGAGCGAAAGCAUGGGGAGCGAACAGG